GAUCCUGGCUCAGAUUGAACGCUGGCGGCAUGCCUUACACAUGCAAGUCGAACGGCAGCACGGGAGCUUGCUCCUGGUGGCGAGUGGCGAACGGGUGAGUAAUACAUCGGAACGUACCCUGAAGUGGGGGAUAACGUAGCGAAAGUUACGCUAAUACCGCAUAUUCUGUGAGCAGGAAAGAGGGGGAUCGCAAGACCUCUUGCUUUAGGAGCGGCCGAUGUCGGAUUAGCUAGUUGGUGAGGUAAAGGCUCACCAAGGCGACGAUCCGUAGCGGGUCUGAGAGGAUGAUCCGCCACACCUGGGACUGAGUACACGGCCCAGACUCCGUACGGGAGGCAGCAGGUGGGAAUUUGGACAAUGGGCGACAAGCCUGAUCCAGCCAUGCCGCGUGAGUGAAGAACGGCCUUCGGGUUGUAAAGCUCUUUCGGUGGGGAAGAAAUUGCACAGGAUAAUACCUUGUGUAGAUGACGGUACCCGCAUAAGAAGCACCGGCUAACUACGUG
RNAcentral lists this ribosomal RNA (503 nucleotides) under uncultured bacterium. RNAcentral describes it as "bacterial SSU rRNA". It matches the Rfam family "Bacterial small subunit ribosomal RNA", at positions 15 to 507 of the family's 1533-position model. The record is from RNAcentral.